GAUGAACGCUGGCGGCGUGCCUAAUACAUGCAAGUAGAACGCUGAAGGAAGGAGCUUGCUCUUUCCGGAUGAGUUGCGAACGGGUGAGUAACGCGUAGGUAACCUGCCUGGUAGCGGGGGAUAAAUAUUGGAAACGAUAGCUAAUACCGCAUAACAGUAGAUGUUGCAUGAUAUCUACUUAAAAGGUGCAAUUGCACCACUACCAGAUGGACCCGCGUUGUAUUAGCUAGUUGGUGUGGUAACGGCUCACCAAGGCGACGAUACAUAACCGACCUGAGAGGGGGAUCGGCCAGAAUGGGACUGAGACACGGCCCAGACUCCUACGGGAGGCAGCAGUAGGGAAUCUGCGGCAAUGGACGGAAGUCUGACCGAGCAACGCCGCGUGAGUGAAGAAGGGUUUCGGAUCGUAAAGCUCUGUUGUAAGAGAAGAACGAGUGUGAGAGUGGAAAGUUCACACUGUGACGGUAUCUUACCAGAAAGGGACGGCUAACUACGUG
Molecule: ribosomal RNA, 497 nt
Filed under: uncultured bacterium
Lineage: Bacteria
Description: partial 16S ribosomal RNA
Rfam family: Bacterial small subunit ribosomal RNA
Source: RNAcentral